This 1090-nucleotide long non-coding RNA is filed under the name Salmo salar (Atlantic salmon). Its description in RNAcentral is "lncRNA (ENSSSAG00000113074.1, ENSSSAG00020081372.1, ENSSSAG00075059218.1)". Lineage: Eukaryota; Metazoa; Chordata; Actinopteri; Salmoniformes; Salmonidae. The record is from RNAcentral.
CGGAAAUGCGCACUGUAUCGCCCAUCCGCACGCACAGUCCGGUGCGGUCGGUACGGGCUCCGCAGCGUUGCCAUGCUAGAGUUGGCACUCAGCCAGGAAGGAGUGUGCCUGCUCAGCGCAUCUGGCCGCCAGUGCGUCUCCUCGGCCCAGUUUAUCCUGCGCCUGCUCUACGCACGGCAGCCCUCAUUCCCCAGCACAGCCCAGUUCGCCCGGUGCCAGCGCUCCGCCCGUGCCGGGCUACAGUGACCAUCCAGCCAGGACGGGUUAUGCAGGCCGUGCACUCCAGACCUCCAGUGCGCCUCCAAGACCCAGUGUACCCUGUGCCUGCUCCGUGCACUCUACCUCCAGUGCACCACCAUAGCCCAGUAUGCCCUGUUCCUGCUCCUCACACUAGCCCGAAGGAGAUAUGGAAGGCUUGCAGUUGAUGUAGAACGCCUCCUGGUGGCCAUGUUGGACGACAACAACAGCUGAGUGGCUACCCCAAACUGCAUGAUAACAGUGCCUAAAACUAGUUGAUUCAUCACCUCGGUCAUUUUCUGUGGAGUAUUUGGCUGCUCUGGCAGAUUCCCCCCAAUCAUGAAACCCCAUUGGUGACAUCAACGAGCUGACCUCUAAUCAAGACACCUAUGUCAACGGGAUUCCCACUGUGAAGAUGAGCAAUGCCGCUGCAGCAUCAGUUUCUACUUCUACUUUGUCCUUUUCCAGAUAUGAAAGGACACAUCCGUCAGUUAUACGAGAUUGUCAUAUGCUGUGCUUUGGACAAUCUGAAUGAUUCUGUUGAGCCAUUUCAGUAGAGAGCACAUUCACCUUGUCAUCAUGACAAACGUGCCCCCUUAAACUGUGUGAAUAUAUAAAGUGUCAUUUGGAACGUGUAAAAUAAUAUUGUUGAUAUUGUAAACAUACUGUACUUUAAUAAUAGGCUAUAUUGUUGUAUGAGUGCAAUGACAAGUAUUUUGUCGUCUCUGCUCUGCCUAACCCCACUGAAUAUUGUAAAUAUCAAAAGUAAGCUUUGGCAAUAUGUACAUUGUUACGUCAUGCCAAUAAAGCAAAUUGAAUUGAAUUGAAUUGAAUUGAAUUGAGAGAGAGAGAG